AUGGAAGGGCCAUCGCUCAACGGAUAAAAGGUACUCCGGGGAUAACAGGCUGAUACCGCCCAAGAGUUCAUAUCGACGGCGGUGUUUGGCACCUCGAUGUCGGCUCAUCACAUCCUGGGGCUGAAGUAGGUCCCAAGGGUAUGGCUGUUCGCCAUUUAAAGUGGUACGCGAGCUGGGUUUAGAACGUCGUGAGACAGUUCGGUCCCUAUCUGCCGUGGGCGCUGGAGAACUGAGGGGGGCUGCUCCUAGUACGAGAGGACCGGAGUGGACGCAUCACUGGUGUUCGGGUUGUCAUGCCAAUGGCACUGCCCGGUAGCUAAAUGCGGAAGAGAUAAGUGCUGAAAGCAUCUAAGCACGAAACUUGCCCCGAG
This 371-nucleotide ribosomal RNA is filed under the name Escherichia coli. RNAcentral's name for it is "partial 23S ribosomal RNA". It matches the Rfam family "Bacterial large subunit ribosomal RNA", at positions 2433 to 2803 of the family's 2925-position model. RNAcentral also lists the same sequence under 2 other names. The record is from RNAcentral. Lineage: Bacteria; Pseudomonadati; Pseudomonadota; Gammaproteobacteria; Enterobacterales; Enterobacteriaceae.